Long non-coding RNA from Camelus dromedarius (Arabian camel), 1891 nucleotides. RefSeq lists it as uncharacterized. Lineage: Eukaryota; Metazoa; Chordata; Mammalia; Artiodactyla; Camelidae. The record is from RefSeq and is a predicted model, not a curated record. The transcript has 3 exons.
CCGGCCCCCACCCGCGGGCUCCCAGCUCCAGUCCUCUCCUGAGCUCUAGGACAACUCGGUGUCUGCAAGCCGGUUUCUCAGGGAGACUUCCCGCUAUCUACCCUUCUGCAGAGACGUGGGCUUUGAAGCCGGCCGUAGUGGCCUCUAGCUUGGAUCAUUAGCUCGACGAGAGCGGAGGCCUUGUCCUGUGAGUUCGCCGCUCUCAUUCCCAGACCAGGCCGGGGACACGCACAGGAUCAUUUGAUGUGGGAGAAACCGGCCACUAUGUUGUGAGGACACUCAAGCAGUCCUUUGGGGAGGUCUGUCUACAGCCACAUGAGUGAGAAGCAGAUCCUCCAGUGAGCCUUCAGAUAACUGAAGUCCCCGUCAAUAGCUUUACUCCAACCUCAUGAGAGACUCUGAAUGAAAACAUCCCAGCUAAGCCUCUCCUACAUUUCUAACCCACAGAAACUGUGAUUCGGACCACCUUUCUGUGCACGCACAUCAGCUGUCUUCAGAGGCUUACUCUUGACACCUUUGGGGUUGCACACAGGGAGCCAGUCACAGGAUGUUUGUUGUGUGCAGGUGAGGUGCAUGAAGCAUUACUUGUGGGCCAGAAGUGGGUAUCUGUAGUUGAGAUGUCCCCAGCAGCUCACCUUGACAGGGUUUGGAAGUGAUUCGUAAGAUCUGAAUUGCUUUGAUGCCCUCUGAGAGCUCUGGCUGCUGUUGUCUGUCAGCUUAUUCCCAUCCACAGUCAUGCAGCAUACCUCAGUAUUCUUGAUGGGGCAAGAAGUAAUUGGGUUUCUUUGGCAGUACAUAGUUUCACAGUCAAGCUGCUGUGUUCAUCUCCUUUAAGACAAGUUUGUCCUCAUUUUUUUUGUGUCCUCUCUCACCUUCAGGCCAAGUACACUGUUGGAGUGGCUCACAGUAUAUAUGAUCCUGUGUGAUUAAUUCAGUAUCUUCUACACUGUAUACAAUAAAUGCUCCAUAAAUCUUAUUAUAUGAAUGAAUAACUAAAUGAAUAUUCAGCUGCCUAAUGAACAUAUUUAUCUGAAUAUCUAGGUAUAAUUUAUAUAAUUGAUACUGAAUUAUCUUCUCCAUAUAGUGGUUCCUCCACUUGAGUUGCCCAUUCCAAUAUGUAUAUCCAUUUCUUAUUGUUUCUUCCUCUCCAUUCUGACGGUCACUUCCUUAGUGUAGGCCAAUACCAUUUAUUGCUUUACCAUUGUUAUAGCCUCCAUGCUUUUAAUUUUGCAUCAUGACCAUCUGGCCACCACAUUGUUGACAGUGAUUAUUCAAGAUAGAGACUAAGCCAGUCAAACUUACUAAAAGACUUACCAUGUCUCUGCUUAAUAAUUAGAAUAAAGUAGUGGGGGUAGAAAUAAAUAGAAGCUGGCUGUAAAUUACUGUUUACCAUGGGCACAGAGAGGCACUUACUGAAGUUAGCACACAAAAGCAAAAUAGUUCAUUUUUAUGUCACACCUUGAGAUUAUUUCCUUGAAAGGAGAAAAGGGAGUUUAUUGUUCUUGUUUGCAUUUCAUAGGCAUUUCCUGUCUCAGGAGUCAGGGAAAGGCAGAGGAUACAUGCUCAGAAAAGGGAAACCUGCAAAAUUUUUAUCAAGCGUAAAAAAUAGAGACUUAACCUCAAUAAUUUAGCUCCAGAUAAAUACACCUGAACACAUUUAUCUUACUGGUUGGUUCCUACAAGAGACUGGUGAGAGCCUCUGCUAUUUUGAGAAAGCUUCUUAGCAUAAUCAGGAAUAAAUUCAUAGAAAAAAACUAUUCCCAAAGGAGCCUAAUUGAAAAUAAACAUCAGUAACUCACAGCAAAAAGUUAAUUAUUACAUGCAGCAGCACAACAUACGUGACUUAACACAGUUUUCACAAGCCAACCCUACUUCUCUUACCUGGGAAAGU